This 685-nucleotide ribosomal RNA is filed under the name uncultured bacterium. RNAcentral describes it as "bacterial SSU rRNA". It matches the Rfam family "Bacterial small subunit ribosomal RNA", at positions 32 to 715 of the family's 1533-position model. The record is from RNAcentral.
AACGCUAGCUACAGGCUUAACACAUGCAAGUCGAGGGGUAGCAGGGUAGCAAUAUCGCUGACGACCGGCGCACGGGUGAGUAACACGUAUCCAACCUUCCCAUAACUCGGGGAUAGCCUUUCGAAAGAAAGAUUAAUACCGGAUAGCAUACGAAUAUCGCAUGAUAUUUCUAUUAAAGAAUUUCGGUUAUCGAUGGGGAUGCGUUCCAUUAGUUUGUUGGCGGGGUAACGGCCCACCAAGACUACGAUGGAUAGGGGUUCUGAGAGGAAGGUCCCCCACAUUGGAACUGAGACACGGUCCAAACUCCUACGGGAGGCAGCAGUGAGGAAUAUUGGUCAAUGGGCGAGAGCCUGAACCAGCCAAGUAGCGUGAAGGAUGAAGGCUCUAUGGGUCGUAAACUUCUUUUAUAUGGGAAUAAAGUUUUCCACGUGUGGAAUUUUGUAUGUACCAUAUGAAUAAGGAUCGGCUAACUCCGUGCCAGCAGCCGCGGUAAUACGGAGGAUCCGAGCGUUAUCCGGAUUUAUUGGGUUUAAAGGGAGCGUAGGUGGAUUGUUAAGUCAGUUGUGAAAGUUUGCGGCUCAACCGUAAAAUUGCAGUUGAAACUGGCAGUCUUGAGUACAGUAGAGGUGGGCGGAAUUCGUGGUGUAGCGGUGAAAUGCUUAGAUAUCACGAAGAACUCCGAUUG